RNAcentral lists this unclassified non-coding RNA (146 nucleotides) under soil metagenome. Its description in RNAcentral is "partial internal transcribed spacer 1". The record is from RNAcentral.
CCGAGUUUACAACUCCCAAACCCCUGUGAACAUACCACUUGUUGCCUCGGCGGAUCAGCCCGCUCCCGUAAAACGGGACGGCCCGCCAGAGGACCCCUAAACUCUGUUUCUAUAUGUAACUUCUGAGUAAAACCAUAAAUAAAUCA